AAACGAAAUGCAAUUAUUUUCGGAACAACUUUCGUCUGGUGAAUGGAGAAAUUAAAAUUCUUCUUGUUCUUCUUGGAUACUCGCGAGUCGCGACUUUCCUCUGUUCCACAGCUAGAAGUGUCAUUAAACGAGAUGUUUUCAAAACAACCCAAUAGAUGCAUUAGUUAUAACACUUUAUAAAUAGCUCUACUUCAGCUAUACCCAUUUCGGUUGUUACUACGAGAAAAUGAGAUCGCAUCUUGUAUCAGUCUCGCCAAUCUUUAAGUCAUCAUCGUGAAGUUGUACAUCUGUACAGCAAAUAAGAUGUCUCUUUGCACAUCCAUUAAUACUGCAAAAGAAUUCUUUUUUGAUUAAAGAAGAAGUCCAAUAUCGGCAGCAAUCUGCAGAAUAAUCCAACUCGUCGCAGUAAGUGAUGAUUUGAUUUUCCUUAUGGCGAAGUUUUGAAGUAAAAGGACGAAGGCGGUGAGGUUCGAAUUCGUCCACCAGGGGGUGUGGUCUUCGGUAGCCAAAUCAAUUCACGUGACGUCAUUCGUUUCUGGACGCUGAUGCUGUAUGGUGUAUUAUGAUUUGUAUUCGAUUACUUCGGGUUUCCAACAUUUUCCACCAUGAAUAUAGAAAGUCCCACUCCCAGUGUGUCAUCUGACCAUGUGGCCUGAAAUUGCUGUCCGUGUGCCGGAAUGUCGUCUCGUACCAGAAACUUAAUUUCAAUGCUAAUUCAAUCUUUUUAAGCUGGUGAACGGUGGUGUUUGCUGCUUAAUGUGUUGAUGGUGAAAGGUGUGCUCAACUCGGAACAAGCUGUUGUUGUCUCUUGUGUUGGUGAAUCUACAGUUACUUUGCUAACCUUCUUCAGCUUCUCUGGAUACAAUAUUCAACAUGUUAAACUGUUUGAUGCCAAAGUUGUCAGAAUUCUAACCCUAACAGUUGCUGCUGCCUCUCACCCACAAGCAGAAAAGUUACUCAAUUUCUUAAGACAAAAGUUCAACAGCCAGCUGAUAUCUCUGCAUUGUUGUUUAACACAACAUGGUUAUUUGGUGUAGCCAGCCGGUGAAAGGCGUCAUCAAAUCAAGUUCAGCUGUGGCACGGAGUCUGUGGUGCCGGUGUAUUCUGGAGCGUGUUGGUGUUCUGUGAAAUGUUUUGCUUAAACUGUUUUGUGUGUCCUUUGGGCCCACCUAGGUUAGGUUCUUUUGUUAACAUGUUUCCGUACCGGAACCUAGCGUUGGGCCCAAGAUACUUGAGGAGAUUAUUUGCCAUUGAAGUAAUUUAUGAUAGACAAAUGCAUAUUGUACUCUCUUCAGUGAAGCCUCGUUUCCAUAACUAACAAACGACCGCUGUGCAAUACUCCAAAAGGAGAAGGAAGUCGGUGAAAUAAUGAACAGCUAGUCCCACUGCGGAACCCGAAAUGAGCGGCGAGAUUGUCUCAAAUGUUGAUCUGAUCUAACUAUUUCCAGAAGUAGAUCAUAUCUUUUAGUUCAAUCGUUCGCCGCCGUUCCAUCAACAAUAUCCAUUGUCGAUACUGAUGAGAGGCUGAAAUUUGAGAUUGAUUGAUAAAUCACAAGUGUAUAUAUCUGUGUUCCCUCUCUGUUUCCUUAAGUAAACAGUAAGCAACUCCCCCCCCCUCAAUCACCCUCUGUGAUAACCGUGAUGAAACGCAUGAUUUGAGCAAAACCUUUGAAGGGCUUUCAGUCUAACCCUCCUUUGAUUAAUCGCUCCCGUAAUAACAUUUUCACAACUCCUUAAUUUUUGUAUAUAAUUCCUUUUUUUUUCCUUCACAUAUCAUGCUAUCUUUACUUUACAAGUGCAUAUCAUAUCUUUGCUCUCUCCCCGUUUCCUUAAGUAAACAGUAAGUAACCAACUUCCCCCUCCCAGUCGUCAACCCACAUGAUACGAGCAAAACAUUUGAAAUUUUUUUAGUCUAACCCUCCUAUGAAUAAUUACUCCCGUAAUAACCGA
This 1950-nucleotide long non-coding RNA is filed under the name Daphnia pulicaria. Its description in RNAcentral is "uncharacterized LOC124320467, transcript variant X6". Lineage: Eukaryota; Metazoa; Arthropoda; Branchiopoda; Diplostraca; Daphniidae. The record is from RNAcentral.